CCUUGAGCCUUUAAUAACUAUGGAAAUGACAAAGCGAACUCAUCUCCUCUUCCAAAGUGAAGUUAAUACAAGAGCAUCCAAAUUAAAUUAGGAUUCAGUGUUUUUCGUUUUUCAAUUUUCCUUCUUUAUGGAAGAUUUCUAUUUAGUUUUCCUUCUUCAUUUAGGAUUCUUAUUUAUUCUACUUCAUUAAUUAAGAAUACUUUGCCAUCUAGAAUUAGGAUUUGUCCUAACUAGUAUAAAUAGGACAGCAUUAGUUAAUUUCUGUAUUCUAUCAUACCUUUCAAUUCAGAAUUUUAAUUCAUAUGUUUUCUUUAAAACUAAUUCCUGUCUAUCGUUCCAACCACAAUCACCCUACUCUAACCCUAAUUAUUGACAUCUAAUUGCCCUAACUCUCCCACUACAUCAAGUGGUAUCAGAGCGAAAAAGGUCCUAAAUUACUACAGGAUUUUUUUCUUCUGGUUCUAAUUAUGGUUGGUAGAGACAAAGGUGGAGGUAGAGGCAAUCAGCCCCAAUAAACAGAGUUGGCUGAGAUGCAGAGGAUGAUUGAGGACUUGACUCAGGCUGUACAAGCCUUGCAGCGUCAAGAACCUAUGGAAUCCCGAAUGGAGAUUUCGGAAGGCAACCACAAACAACUCGAGAUUGAAGAAGAUCUUAGGAUUGAAGAGGAAAUUGAGAACGUGAACCCUUUUCAUAAAGUUGGACCUGAAAAUCAAGCGAUAUGAAGUGCAUUAGAGCAUCGGUUACUGCAUGCUCUUAAAUUGAAUGGUGGAGUGAAGGAUUGAAUCAGCUGAUUUUCAUGGACAGUUACAUGCGAAGGAUUAUUUGGACUAGGAAGCUAGUUUAGAGAAUUACUUUGAAUGGAAACCCAUAGCUAAAAAUCAAAAGGUGCUAUUUGUAAAGCUUAAAUUCAAGGGAACUGCACUUCACUAGUGGAAGAUAGUUGAAAAGCAACGUGCACGACAAGGUAACCCUAAAAUCGACAAUUGGGAGCAGAUGAAAACUAAUUUGCAGAAGUAAUUUUUGCCUACCGAUUAUAUGAUGGAAUUGUAUGAGAAGUUCUGUUGUUUGAAGCAAAACAAUAUGUCCGUUCAAGAGUACACUGCAAAAUUAAAUAACCUAUCAAUUUGAGUUGGUUUGUCUGAAAAGUAAUGAACCACUUGCUUUUGCUACCUUGUUGGUUUGAUUCACUCUAUUAAAGAUGAGAUGGGAGUAGUUCAUUUACACAAUAUUGAGGAUGCUCAUGCUUUAGUAACUGAAAAGUGAGUUUUAUGUUAUGGUGCUAGAAAACCCAUAUACAAAACAAAUUGGCAAAACAAUUUGGGGGCUGGACAUGGGUAUCAAACAAGCCAAUGGAACUGGAAGGAGGCUGCUAUACGUAAUAAUAAUAAAACCAACAAAGGUGCAACCAAUGUUGAGAGGAGCGAUAAAGGGAAAAAUAUAGUACCUUAUGGUGGACAAACUAAUUCUGGUUCAUCUACAGUUAAAGAAGGCAUCAAUACUCAGGUCCAAUGUUUUACUUGUGGAGAGAAGGGACAUACUUCAUUCGCUUGUCCACAAAGGAUAACCGAGUUUGAGGAACAAUUAGAUCUAUUUUUUUAUGAAUAUGAUGAGGAGAUACAAGGAAACUAAUGUUCAUCCAGCCCAAGGUGAAACCUUAAUGGUACGAAGGGUGAUGACGAUGACAAUCAAAGAUGAUGAGGAAGAUUGGAGGAGGCAUAGUAUUUUCCAUACACGUGUUAUUUGUGGAGGCAAGGUGUGGAGGCAAGGUUUGUGAUCUUGUCAUUGCUAGAGGAAGCAUGGAAAAUAUCAUAUCUACGGAAGUUGUGGAAAAAUUGAAGCUUCCUACAACAAAACAUCCUCACCAUACAAGGUUGACUGGUUAAAGAAGGGGCCUGAGAUAGCAGCAACUUCUCAACGUUUGGUGAAAUUCACUAUGGGAGAUAACUUGGAAGAUGAAGCUUUAUGUGAUGCUAUACCAAUGGAUGUUGGGCACAUUCUUGUUGGGAGACCUUGGUUGUUUAAUCAUGAUAUGAUUUAUAAGACAAAUCCUAAUACAGAUGUGGUGGUGCUACUAUAUUUAGUUGUAAUAGAGCCACUAGAUUCUGAACAAAUGUGGCAGUGCCUCUAGAUUCAAAACAAACAUGGCAAAGCCACUAGAUUUAUAUAACAGAAAUGGCAGAGCCUAUGUUCAAAUAAUUCCCUCAACUAUAAGUCAUGCAUUUGAAAUCUUAAGCUUAUCUUGAUCCGUAUGGCUUACCUCUUAAGUCCCAUUCCAACAAAACCAGAUUUGAUGACAUAAGACAUUUUCCCUUUAGAAUCUGGAUUUAGGAAUAAUGUACACAUAAUCACUAUACGAUGGUCUCACUUAUACAGAUAUAAUUUAGUCAUAUUGUCAAAUGAUAAGUUCAAACUAAUAUCAGUGUUAUCAAACACAAAUGUGGACAAGCCACAUAUCAAUUCAUUCAUAUUUCUAAAUCGAACUUUUAGAAAACAAACAACAAUUAGACCAGGAUUCAGAAUUCAGUCCUUUCAAUCUCUAAGGUUCUCUUAUGCAUGAUGCUCAUACAUAAAUAUUCUACAGGGUCUUCAGGUAAAAUAAUUGAUGCAACUAAUUUACAAUACUUAUGAACAGAUAUUCCUAGACUAGGACUUUUGAAGUUUUACUACUGUUAGGUAACUCCUUAAGUGCUUAUAUUGUUUUAAGUUCAUCAUUAACAUAGAAUUGUCCAACCUUCCAUAAGUACAAUGACGAGGACAUCAUGAUGGACCUUGAAGCACCACAAUUCAAAAGAGCCAUGAUAAGGCCAAGAGCCAAAGCUUUGCAAGCCCUAACACAUUCAGCCAACACUAUGGGGAGUCAAUUGGAGUGCUUUACAAUAUUGCAACUAUUUAUUCAAGGUGAUCCUAGCUUGAUCGAAUUAGGAGGAAGCUAUUUAGAGGCUUGCUGACUUGGCAUGCCACGUGGCGUGCCAUGUGGAUGGUGACAUGGCAGCUUAAAUUAGGAGGCAACACAUGUGGAUGAUGUAUUGACGUGCUCACCUACAAACUUUGGUUCAAGUCAUUAUCCAUUGUACAAGUGAUGAGUGGAAAAUGUCAUUAUCCAACCUUUUUACAUUUUUAGUAAAAGCUAAAAUUUCAAAUCUGGUUACAAGACAAUGGCAGACUUUAGGGGAAUAAAUCUGAUUUUGGAAGCCUUCCUUUUGUUGUUAAGUCAUUCAAACAUUUAAGGA
RNAcentral lists this unclassified non-coding RNA (3230 nucleotides) under Hevea brasiliensis (rubber tree). Lineage: Eukaryota; Viridiplantae; Streptophyta; Magnoliopsida; Malpighiales; Euphorbiaceae. The record is from RNAcentral.